This 465-nucleotide ribosomal RNA is filed under the name Aplanochytrium stocchinoi. RNAcentral's name for it is "partial Bacterial large subunit ribosomal RNA". It matches the Rfam family "Bacterial large subunit ribosomal RNA", at positions 1158 to 1629 of the family's 2925-position model. The record is from RNAcentral. Lineage: Eukaryota; Bigyra; Thraustochytrida; Thraustochytriidae.
UCCGCGCGGAAGAUGUAACGGGGCUAAGCGAUGUACCGAAGCUGCGGGUGCAUAGCAAUAUGCGCGGUAGAGGAGCGUUCCGUAAGCCUGCGAAGGUGACUCGUAAGGGUUGCUGGAGGUAUCGGAAGUGCGAAUGCUGACAUGAGUAACGAUAAUGGGUGUGAAAAACACCCACGCCGAAAGACCAAGGUUUCCUGCGCAACGUUAAUCGACGCAGGGUUAGUCGGUCCCUAAGGCGAGGCUGAAAAGCGUAGUCGAUGGCAAACAGGUUAAUAUUCCUGUACUUCCAGUUAUUGCGAUGGAGGGACGGAGAAGGUUAGGCCAGCCUGGCGUUGGUUGUCCAGGUUUAAGGUGGUAGGCUGAAAUCUUAGGCAAAUCCGGGAUUUCAAGGCCGAGAGCUGAUGACGAGUUGCCUUUAGGCGACGAAGUGGUUGAUACCAUGCUUCCAAGACAAGCUCCUAAGCU